Cataglyphis hispanica is the source of this 1667-nucleotide RNA transcript. RefSeq lists it as uncharacterized. The transcript has 4 exons. The record is from RefSeq and is a predicted model, not a curated record. Lineage: Eukaryota; Metazoa; Arthropoda; Insecta; Hymenoptera; Formicidae.
AGAAUGGAUAAUAAAUAUAUUUAAUUUAAUCAGUGCAGGGAUCUCAGGACGGCGCCGAGACUGGCGUAUUGACACAAUCUAGACUGUCCAUGUUUUUCAUGUCAGAAUAUCGUUCAUCGGAAGAAAUUUUGGUUGCGGACUAUUUCAAGCGCUUCAAAUGGGCAUUGAGAUUGAGUAAAAUUCCUGAAACGCAUUAUGCAAAUUAUGUUUGAGUUCACAUGGGUGCGGAAUUCAAUAUUGCUCUGAAGUUCUUGGUAAGCCCUUGUGACCCUGAAGAUCUUCAAUUUGCUAAGAUACGUACAAUUUUAGUAAAUCAUUUUGAUCAAACUAAAAACAAAUACGUAGAAAGCAUUAAAUUCAAACAAAUUGUACAACAGAAGGGCGAAUCUGUCGCGAGUUUUUCACUUCGCUUAAAACAAGGCGUUGCUCAUUGUGAAUACAACACAUUUUUGGAUAGAAUGUUGAUCGAACAACUUCUCCACGGACUGGAAUCAUACAGGAUAUGUGUGACGAGAUCAUCGUUAAGAAAUCGACAACGUUCAAUGCUGCAUACGAGAUUGCAUAUUCACUUGAGGCAACCAGAAAUAUGGCAAAUGAAGUUAGAACGAAGUUCGAACCGGUGACAGCUCCUGAGGUUAUAAACAAACUAGGAUAUGAAACGCCGAAAACGAAGAAAAGCGGAUUCGAUAUCGAGCUUUACUACAAGGCAGCGAACAAUCAAUUCAAAGUUCGUGUAACAGCUGCGGAGGACAACAUCCGUGAAGCCAAUGUCGAUUCCGUGAAGCAAAAUGCUACAAGUGUGACAAGACCGGUCACAUAGCUAAAGUAUAUAGGGCAAAGUGUAAGAUAUUGACUGUAUCUAUAUGAGGCGAUUUUUGGCGAUCGCUUGGUACAUGUAUCAAUGUAUACCAAUAUACACCAGAAUGUUUUCGCGUGUUUUUGUUUUUGUGGUAGAAGCGUGGCUAGCCAUUUUGGUAUUUACUCGAUUGAUACCACGUUAUACCGAGCAGUGAAGCAGGAUAUAUAUGGUUAGUUAUUGAUAAGUUGCAAAUACGCGCCAAAUAUAAUACUAUGCUUUUUACAUAUCUAUAUGGGUUAAAUUUAUUUUGAAUAUUUACUCGGUAUUUCAAUCUUGAAUUAAGCGCAAGUUAAGAUGUCAAUUUUUACAUUUUUGUAAGUUUUGUUACACUAAACAUGAUUUCUUUAUUUUAUUAUUUGACCCAUUAGUUUGAUUUAAAAAUUUUAUUUGAUUUAUUAUUUAUCAAUUAAAGAUCAUGGAUAAAAGCAGCUUUUUGUUGUGUACCGAUAAUAAUGGGCAACCGAUUUUAGAUGAACAUGGAAAAUACAUAUAUUAUUGCACAAAAAGUACUGUAACAAUCUUAAACCAAUUAUUGGGUGAAGCAUCUAUUGAAAAUAAAGAAACUGCAGUGAAUGAGAGUAUAAGUGAAACUGCAGUGAAUGAAACUGCAACGAGUGAAAUAGCAAUGAGUGAAAAUAUAAAUGAAAAUACAGCAAACAAUAAGAAAGAUGCACAAAAAUUGGAAGUGGCAAAUGAAGAUAGUAAGCUUUAUUAUAUAUAUAAUAUAAUGUAGUCUAUUAUGUCUGUAUCUCAAAGAUUUGUUACAAUUAUUAACAUAAACAAUACUAAAUCAUGUUUUAAUACUUGC